CCUACGGGAGGCAGCAGUGGGGAAUAUUGCACAAUGGGGGGAACCCUGAUGCAGCGACGCCGCGUGAGUGAAGAAGCGCCUCGGCGCGUAAAGCUCUGUCAGCAGGAACGAUAAUGACGGUACCUGAAGAAGAAGCCCCGGCUAACUACGUGCCAGCAGCCGCGGUAAUACGUAGGGGGCAAGCGUUAUCCGGAUUUACUGGGUGUAAAGGGAGCGUAGACGGCGGGGCAAGUCUGGAGUGAAAGGCCGGGGCCCAACCCCGGGACCGCUCUGGAAACUGCCCGGCUGGAGUGCGGGAGAGGUAAGCGGAAUUCCUAGUGUAGCGGUGAAAUGCGUAGAUAUUAGGAGGAACACCAGCGGCGAAGGCGGCUUACUGGACCGUGACUGACGUUGAGGCUCGAAAGCGUGGGGAGCAAACAGGAUUAGAUACCCGAGUAG
This 438-nucleotide ribosomal RNA is filed under the name uncultured bacterium. RNAcentral describes it as "bacterial SSU rRNA". It matches the Rfam family "Bacterial small subunit ribosomal RNA", at positions 338 to 793 of the family's 1533-position model. The record is from RNAcentral.